CCUACGGGAGGCAGCAGUGGGGAAUAUUGCACAAUGGGGGAAACCCUGAUGCAGCGACGCCGCGUGAGUGAAGAAGUAUUUCGGUACGUAAAGCUCUAUCAGCAGGGAAGAAAAUGAAGGUACCUGACUAAGAAGCCCCGGCUAACUACGUGCCAGCAGCCGCGGUAAUACGUAGGGGGCAAGCGUUAUCCGGAUUUACUGGGUGUAAAGGGAGCGUAGACGGCAGCGCAAGUCUGGAGUGAAAGCCCAUGGCUUAACCAUGGAACUGCUUUGGAAACUGUGCAGCUAGAGUGCAGGAGAGGUAAGCGGAAUUCCUAGUGUAGCGGUGAAAUGCGUAGAUAUUAGGAGGAACACCAGUGGCGAAGGCGGCUUACUGGACUGUAACUGACGUUGAGGCGCGAAAGCGUGGGGAGCAAACAGGAUUAGAUACCCCUGUAGUC
Molecule: ribosomal RNA, 440 nt
Filed under: uncultured bacterium
Lineage: Bacteria
Description: partial 16S ribosomal RNA
Rfam family: Bacterial small subunit ribosomal RNA
Source: RNAcentral